GCCGCGUCAGCCGGCGUUCUCCGUGCCCCCGCCGCCGAGGACGGCGGUGACGGUCUCGGCGAGCCGGCCGAGGUGCGGCGGCCUCAGCACGCCG
RNAcentral lists this transfer RNA (94 nucleotides) under Streptomyces asoensis. Its description in RNAcentral is "tRNA-Leu". Lineage: Bacteria; Bacillati; Actinomycetota; Actinomycetes; Kitasatosporales; Streptomycetaceae. The record is from RNAcentral.